Small nucleolar RNA from Phragmites australis (common reed), 139 nucleotides. RefSeq annotates it as small nucleolar RNA Z247. The transcript has a single exon. Lineage: Eukaryota; Viridiplantae; Streptophyta; Magnoliopsida; Poales; Poaceae. The record is from RefSeq and is a predicted model, not a curated record.
AAACUUGAUGAUGAAGAAUUGGUCUCCUACAUCCUCGCUGGCCUCGACAUCGACUACAACCCACUGGUCUCGGCUAUUGCGGCUCGGGUGGAGCCCAUCACAGUGGAAGAACUCUAUGCGCAGAUGCUCUCUUUUGAGA